Trypanosoma brucei brucei TREU927 is the source of this 110-nucleotide small nuclear RNA. NCBI's taxonomy places the organism in Eukaryota, Euglenozoa, Kinetoplastea, Trypanosomatida, Trypanosomatidae. The record is from RefSeq and is a predicted model, not a curated record.
AAGCCUUGCGCAGGGAGGUGUGAACGCAAGAUCCUCAGGUGAUUGUUCACUAGUGCAAUACUAUAUCCGGUACUCCUUCGGGGAAAGUUUGCUACCCACCACGGGUGGGA